Molecule: unclassified non-coding RNA, 391 nt
Filed under: soil metagenome
Description: partial contains 5.8S ribosomal RNA, internal transcribed spacer 2, and large subunit ribosomal RNA
Rfam family: 5.8S ribosomal RNA (bases 1-122)
Source: RNAcentral
GAUGAAGAACGUAGCGAAAUGCGAUACUUGGUGUGAAUUGCAGAAUCCCGUGAACCAUCGAGUCUUUGAACGCAAGUUGCGCCAGAAGCCAUUAGGCCGAGGGCACGCCUGCCUGGGCGUCACACGUCGUUGCCCCCCCAUCUACUCCUUCGGGAUUGCGGGGGGCGGAUGAUGGCCUCCCGUGCGCCUCGUCGCGCGGUUGGCAUAAAUGCCAAGUCCUCGGCGACGCACGCCACGACAAUCGGUGGUUGCGAAACCUCGGUUGCCCGUCGUGUGCGGUCGUCGCGCAUCGAGGGCUCGAAAAAAUUGCCGGGCUCCGGCUCGGCUUUCAACGCGACCCCAGGUCAGGCGGGAUUACCCGCUGAAUUUAAGCAUAUCAAUAAGCGGAGGA